UUUAGCAGAGAUGCUUUAGUGCCUUCGGGAACUCUGAGACAGGUGCUGCAUGGCUGUCGUCAGCUCGUGUUGUGAAAGUGUUGGGGUUAAGUCCCGNAACGAGCGCAACCCUUAUCCUUUGUUGCCAGCACGUAAUGGUGGGAACUCAAAGGAGACUGCCGGUGAUAAACCGGAGGAAGGUGGGGAUGACGUCAAGUCAUCAUGGCCCUUACGAGUAGGGCUACACACGUGCUACAAUGGCGCAUACAAAGAGAAGCGACCUCGCGAGAGCAAGCGGACCUCAUAAAGUGCGUCGUAGUCCGGAUUGGAGUCUGCAACUCGACUCCAUGAAGUCGGAAUCGCUAGUAAUCGUAAAUCAGAAUGUUACGGUGAAUACGUUCCCGGGCCUUGUACACACCGCCCGUCACACCAUGGGAGUGGGUUGCAAAAGAAGUAGAUAGCUUAACCUUCGGGAGGGCGUUUACCACUUUGUGAUUCAUGACUGGGGUGAAGUCGUAACAAGGUAAGCGUAGUGCU
RNAcentral lists this ribosomal RNA (516 nucleotides) under uncultured bacterium. RNAcentral's name for it is "bacterial SSU rRNA". It matches the Rfam family "Bacterial small subunit ribosomal RNA", at positions 996 to 1509 of the family's 1533-position model. The record is from RNAcentral.